This 964-nucleotide long non-coding RNA is filed under the name Homo sapiens (human). Its description in RNAcentral is "non-protein coding lnc-MUC20-67:144". The record is from RNAcentral. Lineage: Eukaryota; Metazoa; Chordata; Mammalia; Primates; Hominidae.
GCCAGGUCUGGAGAGGCCUGGCUACUGGUGAGUGAGGUAACUGAGAUCAGGUAUGGAGAGGACUGGCUCCUGGUGAGUGAGUUAAUUGAGAUGAGGUAUGGAGGGACCUGUCUCCUGGUGAGUGAGUUAAUUGAGAUGAGGUGUGGAGGGACCUGUCUCCUGGUGAGUGAGUUAAUUGAGAUGAGGUGUGGAGGGACCCGGCUCCUGGUGAGUGAGUUAAUUGAGACUCGGUGUGGAGGGACUUGGCUCCUGGUGAGUGAGUGAAUUGAGAUGAGGUAUGGAGGGACCUGGCUCCUGGUGAGUGAGUGAAUUGAGAUGAGGUGUGGAGGGACCUGUCUCCUGGUGAGUGAGUUAAUUGAGAUGAGGUAUGGAGGGACCUGUCUCCUGGUGAGUGAGUUAAUUGAGAUCAGGUAUGGAGGGACUUGGCUCCUGGUGAGUGAGUUAAUUGAGACUCUGUGUGGAGGGACCUGGCUCCUGGUGAGUGAGUUAAUUGAGAUGAGGUAUGGAGGGACCUGGCUCCUGGUGAGUGAGUUAAUUGAGAUCAGGUAUGGAGGGACCUGGCUCCUGGUGAGUGAGUUAAUUGAGAUGAGGUGUGGAGGGACCUGGCUCCUGGUGAGUGAGUUAAUUGAGAUGAGGUAUGGAGGGACCUGGCUCCUGGUGAGUGAGUUAAUUGAGAUCAGGUAUGGAGGGACCUGGCUCCUGGUGAGUGAGUUAAUUGAGAUGAGGUAUGGAGGGACCUGGCUCCUGGUGAGUGAGUGAAUUGAGAUCAGGUAUGGAGGGACCUGGCUCCUGGUGAGUGAGUUAAUUGAGAUGAGGUAUGGAGGGACCUGGCUCCUGGUGAGUCUCCUGGAGGCAGCUGCUAUCUGGGAACACAGGCACAGGUGGGAACAGACCUUCACUUCCUGCUCACUUAGGUUCAGUGAGUUCUCCAAACCAGCCUCCCAGGAAUGCCAUUCAACAUGGC